This 429-nucleotide ribosomal RNA is filed under the name Gemmatimonadota bacterium. RNAcentral's name for it is "Gemmatimonadetes bacterium partial 16S ribosomal RNA". It matches the Rfam family "Bacterial small subunit ribosomal RNA", at positions 355 to 776 of the family's 1533-position model. The record is from RNAcentral. Lineage: Bacteria; Pseudomonadati; Gemmatimonadota.
UAGGGAAUCUUCGGCAAUGGACGAAAGUCUGACCGAGCAACGCCGCGUGAGUGAAGAAGGUUUUCGGAUCGUAAAACUCUGUUGUUAGAGAAGAACAAGGACGUUAGUAACUGAACGUCCCCUGACGGUAUCUAACCAGAAAGCCACGGCUAACUACGUGCCAGCAGCCGCGGUAAUACGUAGGUGGCAAGCGUUGUCCGGAUUUAUUGGGCGUAAAGCGAGCGCAGGCGGUUUCUUAAGUCUGAUGUGAAAGCCCCCGGCUCAACCGGGGAGGGUCAUUGGAAACUGGGAGACGUGAGUGCAGAAGAGGAGAGUGGAAUUCCAUGUGUAGCGGUGAAGUGCGUAGAUAUAUGGAGGAACACCAGUGGCGAAGGCGGCUCUCUGGUCUGUAACUGACGCUGAGGCUCGAAAGCGUGGGGAGCAAACAGG